AACUUUAUAAAUAUUCUAGUACAGAAAGAGGAACACCCCAACUGGAUCAAGUUUGAUUCAACCCAAUUAUCCAAAUCCUAAGAGAGAGCUAGGCCUGAAAAGCAAAUCCUAGGGUACAUUUGAUCUUCAACACAAAAUGGACCAUGACCUGACACUUUUGUAGCACAGGAACCCUUUUCGCCAUUGAAGCCCACUCGGAAAACAGAGCAAGCUAUUAAAUACUCUUGAUGUAUGUGCACCCUGAACUCAUAAAUUUAGGCCUCACAUUCUUAAAUUUAGAGAGCAACAGAUUUUUUUAGAGCGAUGAAUACACUAUUUUUUUUUAGUGUAGAAGAUGCACCAUAUAAUUUACCAAAAAAUAGAUCUACACCAAAGGAGCCUCAUCAAAGUAAGAUGGCAACCAUGCAAAUUCUCCUGCACCAAACCAUACUUGAAGGAUCUUCUUUUCCCCAAAGAGUCCCAAUGGCUUCCAGGCAGUUCAAAUAAGCCUAACACAUUAGAGAACUCCCAAUAGAUGUAGAAAAUCGGUAAGAGCAGAGAAGAAAAUGUUGAUGGUGUUUUUUAGUGUCCCAUUCGCGUCUUCUCAACCAGUUUACUAAUUUGCACCCCGCAAU
This 614-nucleotide unclassified non-coding RNA is filed under the name Hevea brasiliensis (rubber tree). The record is from RNAcentral. Lineage: Eukaryota; Viridiplantae; Streptophyta; Magnoliopsida; Malpighiales; Euphorbiaceae.